This is a long non-coding RNA of Pomacea canaliculata, 5861 nucleotides long. RefSeq lists it as uncharacterized. NCBI's taxonomy places the organism in Eukaryota, Metazoa, Mollusca, Gastropoda, Architaenioglossa, Ampullariidae. The record is from RefSeq and is a predicted model, not a curated record. The transcript is spliced from 3 exons.
CUAAUAUAGUUAACUCAGUUUUACCCAAUACUGUAUAUAUAGUAUAUAUAUACUGGCGAGGGGGCCAGUGGACUGGCCGGUCAGAGACAGGAGGCGGGCCGGAUGCGGCUCGCGCGCCGCCCCAUGCCCAGGUCUGGUAUACAGUACACAUAGUACAAUACGCACAGAACACAGUACAUACAGUAUAUACUCAUUCCUCAGUCCACACAGCAGACAAGCAGGAAGACACAUGUACAGCAGACGUAGUUCCCAGCACCCCAUCCUACAAACGGCCCAAGUCGCAUUGAAACGACGAUUGACCCCCCCAUCACACUCACAAGUCCGCUGAUCAACAGAGGUCAAAGUGAACUGAAACCACAGUCAAAUGAAGCCACCGACGCGGGUCGAAGGCACACCACAAUCCAAACAGGAAGUAGGCAACAGAAAAGGUAAAAGUACAAAAAAGUACAGAGCCCUCUAGGCACUUAGACAAAGGGACAUCCUUCUAAAUUUCUUAUUUUCCGCUUGAAAUACACUGUACUAAUUUUGUGGUCAGCUUUCAUAAAUGUAAAAAUUUACAUCGUUUCACUCACUUCCUGCGCCUUUUUUGAAUUUUCCUGGUGAGUCAUUUUUCGACGAAUAUUGUGUAUGUGCAUGAGCAACAGAGGAAUAGUCAGAUCGAAAUACUAAAAAAGAGGGAGAUAUAUUAGUUUAGAAAGAGACUUUUCUUGGCUUUCCAUCCUUUAAUGUACUACAUGGAUAAUGCCAACGAGAACGCACGUUUAGAUUCCAAAGGCACGAGCAGAAAAGAGUGCAUUACCUCUUAAACCAUCGUGUGAUUAUGUGGGUGGCAUAAGUUUUAGUCCCACCAACAAUACUCGUGUAUUAAGGAAAUUAUGCGGGUGGAAUAAGACGUAGUCCCAAUUGCGGAACAAUAAGCGUGACUGUGUGUUUGUCCAGACAGUAUCGCGUUGGGCCACGUCAGCACACCCUGCUAGACCUCAGAGAAAGCAACCCAGGCUCCGUACUGCGCCCCUAAUAACCGAGGCCCGUGUAGCUACUUUCUCGUUUUGCAUCGCGGCCUCCAUGAACCAGCUCCACCCUCCACCCGAACCACGACACUCGAACCAUCCAUCCGUCAGCUGAGGUAACCAGCAGCGCAACGAGUUGCGCUCGUCAGCAAACACAAUGAGCAUUGCCCGCCCCUAAGCCUGGCGCCGGCCGCGCGCAGAACGCCGCAAGCCGCACGCGCGCCAGUCGGCCAGUGGACGUCCGCUAAUAUUAUCAAAGCUAUCAAUAGUUUAGCAGUCGGCAUCUAUCUGUCACAAAAGUUGGAAGGAGUUGACUCCUCGGCACAGUACUCAGCUUCCACGACCCUGUCACUUGCUCGAAGACAACGCAAAGACGCGGCUCGAGACAAGACAACAUUCAGAAAAAUGAAGAUUACUGGAAAGAGCUGGGGCUUUAUACCGGACCAAAAGAACGCCAAAAGCGGAAGUUCAUUGUUUUUUAAAAUAUGUAUUAUUACAUAUAUAACCCAAAUAUGCCAGGCAGAUAAACCAACGAUUAUACUAGGUAGGAAUACAUCGCCAUCUUGCAACAUUUCGCAGAUUGAAAUUCAAUAUUUCGCGGGUACAAUCAGUGAAGGACAAAUGUUUGACAGCGCGUGCUGCAACGCUCCAACAAUGAUGAAGUGCAAUAAAAGUAACUUCAACAGUUACAUACCACCGGUCCUGUCGUGCGACUGCCAGCAGAAGAAGACAGAUGGAGAGGAAAGUACCAAGACGUCGACCGCCAUGAUGAUCACAUCAUCCCAGACAAGGAAUGACUCUAUUGACACGACAGCAGUACUCAUUAUUGCAGUAUUUAUUGGUUUAUUUGUCUGAUUACAACUAGGCUGCAUCCUUUUUUAUACAACUGUUUUACAAAGACAGUUAACGUGAACAACAGCCAAUCUCCUGACUAUGGCUCUCUUUCAUUUUAUUUUCAAUGCACCUUGGAGUUUCAGUUAGAUAAUCAAACUAAUGUAUGGGGAUCUUAGAUGUUUCCUUUUAUAUACUAUCUCAGCUACUAGAUGCAUAAAAUUCUGGUUAAGGUUAUUCCAGAGGUCACGAAACAUAGGUGAUCAAAGUACUUAGAGUUGUGUGUUCCAGGGGUUUGAGGUCUGUCUGGAUGCUCCAACAGGUGGGGAGGGAGAAAGUGUUUUUAAAGACGUUUAGAGAAAGAUUGAGGGAUGUUUUUUGUCAGGAAUGGUAUACAAUUCUAGAGAAUAGUUUCCAUUUCAAUGCACACAACAGUUCCAAAUAUGCUGCAUUGUGAAUUAUAUGUGGAUAGUAUAAGCAAGGAUUGUGUGAGAAAGGCCUGUGCUCUGUUUAGAAUUGGUGUUUCGGAAAUCAACUGUCACAGAAAUCGAUUUGCAUAAUGAUGUAGCCCGCCAUUGUCCUUUUGUACAGAUGUCUUGGAGGAUGAAGCUCGUGUCUUAUUUUUCUGACCUAUGAAUGAUGACUGAAGCUAAAUAUGGUAGAGAACUCAAUAACGGUCAACAUGACCUGUAAAUAUUGUUUUGCACAAAUGAAAAGAAAAUUAUGCAAUUAAGUCUUUUUAUAUUUUGGAUUUGGAAAAAAGAGGUUGGUAUUAAUUGGUUAGUGUCACUUGCUGGCUAUGGUGUUGAAGGACUUUUAGGAUGUGUGUGUGUGGGAGAGGGAGGGGCGGGAUGCGUGCAAGUCAAAUUAGAGUUAAUGAAUUAUAUUUGUGUAGUACCUCCAAUGCGUACAAAUGUUGUGUGUGUGUGUUUUAGAAGUCAGUUUUCAUAUUUGUGUAUUGACUUACAGCUACAGAAAAAAAUCUGUCAUGCGUUGUAAAACGAUCUUGAUACCUUUUUUUCCAUAUUCUUGUUGGAGACAGGCUUUUGGAGCAUAAAGUUUUACUGCAUUUCUCUUUCUCUCUCAGUUUGGUGCUGUUUUGAAUUGUUGACUUCAUUGGGCAGUAAGCUUGAGCUCUGUGUGUGUGCUAAUGUGUGAAUGGCGGUUUUAUGGGGAUGGUGUAAGAGUUGGGGUUGGGGUUGGGUUGGGAUGUUUGUGGGACGAAUGAGGCGGGGAGAAGGAUGGGCCUAACUCGCCCGAGGGGAAAGGCGACACUUCAUCUGGCUCGCACACCCGACUUUCGCCCUCUCACACCGCCACCCGCCUAUUCGCACGUCCGCACGCGAAUACACUAAUAAUCACACUCACCCGCAUGCGCAAACAUAACCGACAACAUGGUCGCACAGCAAACAAAUUUAAUUAUAAUCACAAGAAAAUCAGCCAGGUUGAAUACAUGAAACGCACUAGGAAUCUCUAAAUAAACAAUCUGACCUCAGGUCAGUAAAAGUAGACAAGUAAAUAAAAACACACUUUCCUCCCAGCGCUUUGUGGAUCCGAGUCUGCGUCCGACGAACGCUUCACGUGAUGUUUCCCGGACGCGAACACCUCCCAAGUCAAGAAACAGCUGGGAACAAUGCAGUGUCCUCGCGACAGGCUGCUCCACAACCAGUGGUCUGAGAAUUGACUUGGCACAUUACUGCCAUUACUGGCGGAUAUCACAGGUCGCACACCGCUGUCCCAGGCAGCGAACAAUGACGACGACGUUGGAGAUGGAGUCUUCCGACGCACUGUCACUAUAGCCCACUGGCACUGCUGCUCCUCCUGUUGCCCCAGGAAACGGACAACAGCUGCGGUGGAGCAUCAGACAGCCGUCCCCCGUCCCUCAACACUUCUGUGGCCAGUGCGCACCAGGGAGCGUGGAUGAAGCGGCAACGCUGGCGCAGCAAGUCUGAGGCUCGGCGCCAGGUUUUCCUUUCCUUCGUUUUCUCCCCUUCCUCUAUCCUUACCUGUAUCUUUCCUCCUCCUUACUGUCGUUCUCUUCCCACAACAAAACCACAAAAAAGUGUUCUUUCUAUUUUUCCCUCCUUUUCAAAUUAUUUUAACCGCAUUUCAACAGACUCCCGGUAGCCCUAAUUGAAACUGUGUGUGGAGGGGAGGCAGUCUGUGUGAGGGUGGUGUCUGUGUGUGUGGGGAUGUCUGUGUGUGGGGAUGUCUGUGUGUGGGGGGUGUCUGUGUGCAGACACGUGUGGUGCACACAACGUACAGAUUUCCGCACGGGCCACGUGAAAUCGAUAAGCAGCCUCGGUUAGCUGACACCGCAGGCACGACAGGUGAGAGGACAUCGUCGACAUCACACUCAGGUAAGAAAGUUAUGUUUGAGCCUCUGUUUUGCUUUGUUUUGCUUUGGCGGUUCCCACGUCUCCUCCCACCUUUACUUCUCUAUCCAUCUAUAAUCUACCUUAGAGUUCAUAUUCAUGUAUGGUCAGGAACACUGCUAUCAUGCAUUAUUACGAACAACGGGAGACUAGUGAUGCGCAAGGACAGUUGGUGAAAAUUGAUGUUGUAAGUGUGAGAAUGAAAGAUUGCGAAGAACCAAGCAGAGAAAGUGUAUAAUUUCUAUAAACAGGUUAAUAAAUAACACCCUUUUUCUUCACGAUGAAAAGAUGAGGAGAGAGUGAGAGAAGUUAGAGAAAGGAAAACAUACACACAGACAUACAACCACACAUAGACACACAUAUGCACAUUCACAUCCCACCCCCUACAUAGUAUGUUACUGGUCAUUCAUCAACACAAGGUACUCAAAAUAAACUUGCAUACAGGUGCAUGGCGCUUUUCCAGGCAUCACGCUUUCCGGUAACCGAAGGAAGGUGACAGCGGGGAGGGGCAAGUGGAUGAGCUGGGAGACAUUGAGUCAUGUGAGCAGUACGACGAUUUCCACAUCCUCAAUGGCUUGCAGACAGCGGGAAUCCUCUGAGUGACCUCAUGAUCAGAUGACUACCCGGGCUGCUCAGUAGUGUAGUGGCCGAAACACCCACUUGCAACAUUGCAGUGAAAGACCCUGGGUCUCCUCUCAAGGCACCCACUGUAUGCAACAAAUGUUCGCAGGACUGGCCGUUUGAGGGGUUUCUCCAGAUACUCCAAUUCCUAUCCCCCCUACAGAGUGUUAAAUCGACGCAAGGUGGAAGCACAUUCCCACUAAAUCAACCAGCCAGCCAGCCAGGCAGGCAACCAAUCAACGAACUAGCGACCCAGCUAUUCAAUCAGCCAUCAUACAGACAACAAUCUUGUACUUUCACCAGCACGUCUUGUGAUAGAACAAAUACUUAUUUGUUAGUAGAACCACUGCGAUGUCUGGUAUUGUCCUUAAAGCUUUACUGCACAUAAUCAUUAUUUCCAGCGUUGACAUGUUUAUCAUAAAACCUUUAUAUUUACCAAAAUCGCUUUUGUCAAACUCAUGUAACAAAGAGUUUCAAGGCCGUGCUUGUGGAGACCUACUAGCCAACGAAGCAGAAUGGCAGCACUGGGAUGAUGUGUGUUGUAAGACAAUCAACAAAACCUUGCAGCUCACCUGCCACGAGGAACAAACUUUUGUCAAGAGCUUCUACUAUGACUGUGUGUCCACACAACUGACAACACUACCAGCUGCAACAGUCACGACACACAAGCCCGACACAUCUUCCCCAUACAUGCAUGUUCUUUUCAAUGGCGCAAUAGUCUUUGGAAUAUUAAUAAGCAUGGACAACUUUUUGUUGUUAUGUUGUUAUGUUAUGCAGCCCAUCUAAGACGAUAGAGGCAUAGAUGUUAAUGAUGUAUCAACGAUAAAAGCGCUGAUUUUUUGUACAUUAUUUGUCACAAUAUUUCCACUUGCAUGUGUGCGAUACAGCAUACAUCAGUUGGUUGUUCAGUGUGACUGAGACUGACUGAUGUGUAGACAAGCCCAAAGCCCUCCCCACUCACUGCAAUUAAAGAUUCAUUAACAUGACUUCUUUGUAAUUUGUGCUUUGGGUACAGUGGUCAAUA